CCAGGAAGAAAAGUUCUUGGAUGAAAGUUAAAGAAAGUUGUCUGCUUUCCCUAUAGUAGCAAAGGAUGCUAAAAAAACAAUGGCCUUUUCUCUAGUCUGUAUACUACAGUUAAUGAUUGAUUACUCAGUUAUCGACAGUGAUGGUGGAGUUACUUUGAAAAAGUAACUUUAAUCAGAUUACUGAUUACUCCUUGAAAAAGUAACUUAGUUAGAUUACUGAUUACUUGAAAUGGAAAGUAACGAAGUUACAUUAAAAGUAACUUUUUCAGUUGCUUUUAGCAGCUGCUAACAACAACGCUGUGCCGCCUGUGAAAAUAACAUUGAGCUUUGCCAAUACUUAAUUGCCAGUUAUUUUAUAAUUGCUGGGUUCUGCAGGGGAGUGGUUUCUCUACAUUUACAGGGUGGCAGGCUGACGGGAUCCAGCUGGUGCUCAUCAAGACCAAUCAGCGAAGGCCUUAAAUAGGAGCGGCUUCCCUGAGGCAGACGCCAGAUGAUUUGCUUCAAUAGUGGUACACUCUGGCUCUCUGUGCUGCUGUUACUGUGUUUAAACUUGUUCUGAUUCCUCUCUCAUCUAUUCCCUCCUCAGAGAACCAGCUCUGAUCACCCCCUGGUGCUCAGACUAUCUUAUUACCCGAUCCUCGCUGCUCCGCUAAACCUAGCUCCUGGAUACCUCCACGACCACCAGCCUGUCCACCCUCAGUCUCAUGCUGGAACUCCUCCACCUGGAAAUCCCACACUCCACCGACUGCUGGAAAACCCAUGUACCCACCUCUGCUCAUCCUAACCCUCAGACAUUCCUCCUCUGGCCCGGUUCCUCCCUGCUGCUGCAGAUCAACGCCUCUCUAUUCUCUCCCCAUUUGCACUCAUUAUUCAAUAAAUCUGUUAAACUGCG
Xiphophorus hellerii (green swordtail) is the source of this 892-nucleotide long non-coding RNA. RefSeq lists it as uncharacterized. The record is from RefSeq and is a predicted model, not a curated record. Lineage: Eukaryota; Metazoa; Chordata; Actinopteri; Cyprinodontiformes; Poeciliidae. The transcript is spliced from 2 exons.